Bufo gargarizans (Asiatic toad) is the source of this 1317-nucleotide long non-coding RNA. RefSeq lists it as uncharacterized. NCBI's taxonomy places the organism in Eukaryota, Metazoa, Chordata, Amphibia, Anura, Bufonidae. The transcript has 3 exons. The record is from RefSeq and is a predicted model, not a curated record.
UGGAGGUGAGUGUUUGUAAAUUGUCACACCACCUCAGGACCUAGUAAGGUAGGGGCAGAGAUACAACAACACCCUGGGCAGCAGAAGGGUAGCCACAGCAGAGGUAGCGAACAGGCAUGUUCUGGCCCCUGCACUUUGGAGUAUUCCUGGACCUGUGGAGAAUCCAGAUAAGAAGGAAAAGACCAGCCUGCUGUGUGAAAAUCUGAGUGCAUGUGUCCGUAGAAAUAAAGAUACUGCUACCUGCCGAGAGAGCUGUGAGGAAGGCGCUACUGCAACCUGGAAGUGUCUGUACACCAGUCCGCGCCACGGCCAAGGAAAAACUGAGGCUCCGUCCACAUCAUCAGAGAUUAUCGCCUUUCGGGUUGACUUCAAUGACUUUAUGGAACCAAAGCUGCGCAGUAAAUCCCCACCAAAUAUCAUCGAGACCAAAUGGCCAAUGCCAGGGCAAGAGGAAAAUAGUCCUCGAGAGGGGACUGGUGAAUAUAAGAACUCUGCUACCAGAGGACAUUUAGAGAGGUUCAUCCUGAGCGUCCUGGUUCCUGAAUAUAAUGAUACAACCACAAAACUGCUAGAACUACUGUGACACUUAAUCCUAGGAGAGUUUGCUACAAUUGCAUAUUGGUGAGAUAAAUACAUCUCUAUCAUCCCCCUUUCUAAAAGACCGUUCCCUACCCCUCAAGGCGGUCAGAAGGACAAGGACAAAUGGCCACCCCCCUGACCACAAGUCAACCCAUCUGUGCCCCAUUGGCUGCAACCUGAACAUCCCCUAGGGUUUACAGACCAGUUUAGCUCUCCAAGAUGGGGGCCAAAGGUAGACUGGCCAUAGACCCUAAAGGGAAAUUUCCCUGUGGGCCGAUGCCCAAGGGGCUACCCGAGCCCUCCUCAUGGCUGCUGGCCGAGUACAUAAAGAUCUCGGACCCAGCGGAGGCAGAGCGGGCGCAGGCUGGGAGUGCAGCAGCCGCAGAGUUGACAUCACCGACUCACCACGUAAAGCUGCCCGCCCGCGUGAACGCUUGCUUCUGUUCUGCGACUGCAAGCUCUGCGACUGCGUCUGCUAGUGUCAGUGAUCCGUGUCUGUGCCCGGCCCAGGCCCCAGCUUCGGACAGGAGGACUGUGUGUGGCUCACUGUGGCAACGUCCCAAGAACUCUGCCUGCCCUGGCCGGACCCUAGGCAAGCUAAGAAGAAAACAAAAGAAACUGAUGUUUUGUCCAGUGCUGAGGAGCAACUGUCAGAACUUGCAAUGGGAGUAGAAGAAACCUCAGCAAAAGUGGAGCAAUGAAAAGGAAACCGUAGGUCGUGCCUAGUGUCUACCCGGC